UGGGUUCUCAUUUGGCUUUGAUGCUUCCAUUUAGGAGACUGAUAAUUAAUCAAACUGACCAAUAUAUGUAGCGAACAGGUACAGAUAUGUAACCAGUUUGCAUGUGGUGAAAUGGAUAGGUUGUUUGCCAUAGCAGCUAUCUACACAAGUUCUAGUCCAGCAAAAUGAUUGUUCAAACAUUUUUCUCCUUUAUUCUGAUGACUUAUUAUCCUUCACUACUAUUGUUAUAUUAUAUUAUAUGUCUGUAUUUUAAAGGAAAAGGUUAUAUUAUUUAUAUUCAUUUACAAGGAAAAUUGUAGCCCAUCUGCUAUUUACUAUCUAUCCAUGAACUUCUUCACAAUUACUUUUUCACAAUCUAUAUCUAGUAACUCAACUUCUUCCAUUCUCAUCUCCCAUCUUUAUACGAGUAAAGCAAGAAUACUCCAACAAGGAAAGGAGGAAGGAAGACAAGAUUAAAAAAUUGCCCAGAGAAAAACAGCAGAGAGAAAGUAGGAAUUAACAAAAAAAUGUGCAUAAAGUAGAUAGAAAAAGAAAGAAGUGAGAUUUAAAAAACCAGAAAAGUUCAUCAAUGGUAGGACUAGUAUUAUAUUAAAA
This 594-nucleotide unclassified non-coding RNA is filed under the name Hevea brasiliensis (rubber tree). The record is from RNAcentral. Lineage: Eukaryota; Viridiplantae; Streptophyta; Magnoliopsida; Malpighiales; Euphorbiaceae.